CUUGGAGGAGCGUGCUCUUCCAGCACGUGAAAGUGGCCCUUUUCAAUAGCCAAUAGGAAGAAGCUACCAUGCCCUAGCCAAUCAGAGGCGGGAGCAGCUGGUGCGAGAUGAUUUUUAAGGGAAUUUCUGCAGGACACUUAUCAAAAGAAGCAGGCUUUUCAUCUUCAUCUCUGUCACAGAAGGCAGAAGAAGUGGUACCACUAUGCAGAAUAAGGACAACUGAGUUCUCUAUGCAAAAUUAUACUUACAAGGAAGCCAGAAGUACUGUCCAACAAGCACCGAACUCGACAGAUGAAACAACGAGUUAAGAAGGAAGAAUAAUCUGUUGUCAUGCUGUCAUUCUCUUGUGCUUUAAACAAUUUACUGAGAAUAUAUUCUUCUCCUAUAAACAACAGUGGAGGCAAUAUAUGUCAGAUCACACUAAAAAAGAAUGAAAAUUUACUGUACCUACUUGAACAAAUUGUUAUGGGAAUUGCUAAAUAUUAUUUUAUGGACGGGUGAAUAUUAAAUUAAAUGAUGUAAACAAACCUGCACAUGCUCUACCAAAAGAAAAAAGGAAGGCUCUAUAAUAAGAUUCAGGUGAGUUUCUUCAGGAACUUUGACUUUUUUAUUUCCUGAAUUUUUGUGAUUUUUAAUGGUGCAAAACAGAGUAACAGAUGUUACUGCUUCUGAGAUCAGAGAUAAUACAUUAGAAAAAGGAACAAAAUAAGGAAAAAUGCUAAUGCAAGAAAAAAGUUAACGGUGGCUCAUUAGUUAAUGUUCAGCUGUUGCCUCUUUGAUUUUUGAUGAAGCAUUUGCCAGUUUUGGACUACAGGUGCAUAGCUUUCGAAAUACUUAUUUCCCAAAAGACACACCCAAGUACUUGUACAGAAGUAUGAACUCAGAAAAUGAAAUUUUCUGCUAUAUAUAACUUAGGACAAAAAUUCCAAAUGUUUAUAACUUUUUAUAAUUUGAAAUCUUCAUGCACAUUGUUUCAUUUGUUUUCUCUACACUUCCUGCAAAAUUUUGCAAAGUUCUUCAGGUUUCCAUAAGGACUCAUGCAAAACACUCAAGCUGCGAGAGAUUCUACCAAAGUUACACACCUGUGUUCCUCAUGAGUUCAUAAAGGCUACUGAAGGACUUCUUGCAAGUUUUUCCCCCAUCUGGAAAACUAAUUGCUUCCUCACCUUCUGGUGAUCAAUAAUUCUUUAUAAAGUUAACAUUUUCAACCCCAUAGUAUUUUCUGUAGUCAUGAUUCCAGCUUUACGCUUCUUGUACAAAGGAAAAACUUUCUGCACAUGUCCACCUGCCAUCCUAGGAAAAUGCAGCCUCGGGAUAAAAUAUUGCUGAACCAACUUUUUCUUCUGAAGUCUCCUAGCCACAUAACUGUGCAUGGGAAAACAAAUGGCAGAAAGGGAUAUCACUCCUGUUGUAUUGUACAGAAACUUGUUGCAUGGGUUUUUUUCAUGAUUAAAAGAUACUAAUGUCCUGAUCAGUGUGAACAAAAGGUUGGUAGGAUGAACACUGAUGAUGUUCAUUCUGAGCAGAUGAUAAGAAUAUCCAGAGGUACAUUAGAGAAAAAUAAAUAUCAACUUUCAAGCAUCACACCACACACUACCUUUGUAAGUGUCAAGGAUCAGGAAGAAACUUCAUCUAUGGGACAGUAACUUUAUAAAUGGCCACUAUGCAGCUUUCCACUGAAGAUUCUGACUUGAUGUGGAACAGAAAUAGGAGUAGAUGGAGUGCAAGUCUGACUUUGUAUAGUGAUGCCUACCUGUUUCUGUCUGUAAUUGCUGUCCAGAUAACAUCUGGGGAGGGUUCAUGGCCCAGUGUAGUUGUCUACAGAAAUCCUGGCGAUCAUCCACAUGAAUGUAAUCAUAUAUGUUUUGGUGCAUUACAUCAGUCUGAAACAAUUGCAACAAGGAAUGUUUAAUCUGUAAGCUUAGUGGGGCAGAGACUUAUCUUUUGGUUGAUACUUUCCUUAAAAUAAUGGCUGGUGUAGGAUACCUGCAGAGCAAAGACUGCUUGAGGAAAGUUACUUCAGAGGCCCCUGUUUUUCAUGUCUGCUUUUUAUCUUAACAUCCCAAGAUGACUAUUUUUAUCCUUAACUCUUUUAAUGUUUGUGCAUAUGCAAAUGUGAGUAAUAAAAAAGUCCAACCAGCA
Molecule: long non-coding RNA, 2142 nt
Organism: Dromaius novaehollandiae (emu)
Lineage: Eukaryota; Metazoa; Chordata; Aves; Casuariiformes; Dromaiidae
Exons: 4
Source: RefSeq, a predicted model, not a curated record